UCUCAGGCGCUCGGGUGAUGGGUUGUUAAGGAACUAGGCAAAUUAACCCCGUAACUUCGGGAGAAGGGGUGCCCAUGCAAAUGGGCCGCAGUGAAUAGCGUCAGGCGACUGUUUAACAAAAACACAGGUCUCUGCUAAGUCGAAAACGAUGUAUAGGGGCUGACGCCUGCCCGGUGCCGGAAGGUUAAAGGGAGUGGUUAGCGCAAGCGAAGCUACGAACUGAAGCCCCGGUGAACGGCGGCCGUAACAAUAACGGUCCUAAGGUAGAAAAUUCCUUGUCGGGUAAGUUCCGACCUGCACGAAUGGCGUAACGAUCUGACGACUGUCUCAACAACUCGCCCGGCGAAUUUGUGGUUCCGGUGAAGACGCCGGAUGCCCGCCACAAGACGGAAAGACCCAGUGCACCUUUACUAUACCCUAUCAGUGAAUUAUGGGUUGGACUGCGCAGGAUAGGUGGGAGGCUUUGAGAUCGGGUUUUUGGACUCGAUGGAGCCAACGGUGAGAUUCCACCCUGUGUAAUCUGUGAUUCUAACCUGCUUCCAUGAUCUGGAAGAGGGACACUGGUAGGCGGGUAGUUUGACUGGGGCGGUCGCCUCCUAAAUUGUAACGGAGGCGCUCGAAGCUGCGUUCAGGUGGUUUGGAAAUCCACCGACGAGUGCAAAGGCAUAAACGCGGUUAACUGCGAGACCUACAAGUCAAGCAGGUGGGAAACCAGGACUUAGUGAUCCGGUGGUUCUGUAUGGAAGGGCCAUCGCUCAACGGAUAAAAGGUACGCCGGGGAUAACAGGCUGAUCGGAGUCAAGAGUUCACAUCGACGCUCCGGUUUGGCACCUCGAUGUCGGUUCAUCGCAUCCCGGGGGUGUAGAAGCUCCCAAGGGUUAGGCUGUUCGCCUAUUAAAGCGGUACGUGAACCGGGUUUAGAACGUCGCGAGACAGUUCGGUCCCCAUCUGUGGUGGGCGCAGGAAAUUUGAGGGGGCUUGGCCUUAGUACGAGAGGACCGGGCUGAACGAACCUCUUGUGAUACAGUUGUCACUCCAGUGGCACAGCUGUGUAGCGAAGUUCGGUUAGGAUAAGCGCUGAAUGCAUAUAAGUGCGAAACCUUCCCCAAGAUGAGAUUUCCCAACCGUAAGGUAAUAAGGGCCGUGGAAGACUACCACGUUGAUAGGGCGGGUGUGUAAGAGUAGUAAUACUUUGAGCUAACCGUUACUAAUAGCCCGUUCGGCUUGAUCAA
Molecule: ribosomal RNA, 1232 nt
Filed under: metagenome
Description: bacterial LSU rRNA
Rfam family: Bacterial large subunit ribosomal RNA
Source: RNAcentral